RNAcentral lists this ribosomal RNA (893 nucleotides) under uncultured bacterium. RNAcentral describes it as "bacterial SSU rRNA". It matches the Rfam family "Bacterial small subunit ribosomal RNA", at positions 8 to 916 of the family's 1533-position model. The record is from RNAcentral.
AGAGUUUGAUCCUGGCUCAGGACGAACGCUGGCGGCGUGCUUAACACAUGCAAGUCGAGCGAUGAAGCUUUCUUCAGAAAGUGGAUUAGCGGCGGACGGGUGAGUAACACGUGGGUAACCUGCCUCAUAGAGGGGAAUAGCCUUUCGAAAGGAAGAUUAAUACCGCAUAAGAUUGUAAUACCGCAUGGUAUAGCAAUUAAAGGAGCAAUCCGCUAUGAGAUGGACCCGCGUCGCAUUAGCUAGUUGGUGAGGUAACGGCUCACCAAGGCGACGAUGCGUAGCCGACCUGAGAGGGUGAUCGGCCACAUUGGGACUGAGACACGGCCCAGACUCCUACGGGAGGCAGCAGUGGGGAAUAUUGCACAAUGGGGGAAACCCUGAUGCAGCAACGCCGCGUGAGUGAUGACGGUCUUCGGAUUGUAAAGCUCUGUCUUUAGGGACGAUAAUGACGGUACCUAAGGAGGAAGCCACGGCUAACUACGUGCCAGCAGCCGCGGUAAUACGUAGGUGGCAAGCGUUGUCCGGAUUUACUGGGCGUAAAGGGAGCGUAGGUGGAUAUUUAAGUGGGAUGUGAAAUACCCGGGCUUAACCUGGGUGCUGCAUUCCAAACUGGAUAUCUAGAGUGCAGGAGAGGAAAGGAGAAUUCCUAGUGUAGCGGUGAAAUGCGUAGAGAUUAGGAAGAAUACCAGUGGCGAAGGCGCCUUUCUGGACUGUAACUGACACUGAGGCUCGAAAGCGUGGGGAGCAAACAGGAUUAGAUACCCUGAUAGUCCACGCCGUAAACGAUGAAUACUAGGUGUGGGGGUUGUCAUGACCUCCGUGCCGCCGCUAACGCAUUAAGUAUUCCGCCUGGGGAGUACGGUCGCAAGAUUAAAACUCAAAGGAAUUGACGG